RNAcentral lists this ribosomal RNA (497 nucleotides) under uncultured bacterium. Its description in RNAcentral is "partial 16S ribosomal RNA". It matches the Rfam family "Bacterial small subunit ribosomal RNA", at positions 28 to 507 of the family's 1533-position model. The record is from RNAcentral.
GAUGAACGCUGGCGGCGUGCCUAAUACAUGCAAGUCGAGCGAACAGACGAGGAGCUUGCUCCUCUGACGUUAGCGGCGGACGGGUGAGUAACACGUGGAUAACCUACCUAUAAGACUGGGAUAACUUUGGGAAACCGGAGCUAGUACCGGAUAAUAUAUUGAACCGCAUGGUUCAAUAGUGAAAGACGGUUUUGCUGUCACUUAUAGAUGGAUCCGCGCCGCAUUAGCUAGUUGGUAAGGUAACGGCUUACCAAGGCGACGAUGCGUAGCCGACCGGAGAGGGUGAUCGGCCACACUGGAACUGAGACACGGUCCAGACUCCUACGGGAGGCAGCAGUAGGGAAUCUUCCGCAAUGGGCGAAAGCCUGACGGAGCAACGCCGCGUGAGUGAUGAAGGUCUUCGGAUCGUAAAACUCUGUUAUUAGGGAAGAACAAAUGUGUAAGUAACUAUGCACGUCUUGACGGUACCUAAUCAGAAAGCCACGGCUAACUACGUG